AUUGAACGCUAGCGGGAUGCUUUACACAUGCCAGUCGAACGGCAGCGCGGACUUCGGUCUGGCGGCGAGUGGCGAACGGGUGAGUAAUGUAUCGGAACGUGCCCAGUAGCGGGGGAUAACUACGCGAAAGCGUAGCUAAUACCGCAUACGCCCUACGGGGGAAAGCAGGGGAUCGUAAGACCUUGCACUAUUGGAUCGGCCGAUAUCGGAUUAGCUAGUUGGUGAGGUAACGGCUCACCAAGGCGACGAUCCGUAGCUGGUUUGAGAGGACGACCAGCCACACUGGGACUGAGACACGGCCCAGACUCCUACGGGAGGCAGCAGUGGGGAAUUUUGGACAAUGGGGGCAACCCUGAUCCAGCCAUCCCGCGUGUGCGAUGAAGGCCUUCGGGUUGUAAAGCACUUUUGGCAGGAAAGAAACGUCGCAGGCUAAUACCCCGUGGAACUGACGGUACCUGCAGAAUAAGCACCGGCUAACUACGUG
Molecule: ribosomal RNA, 484 nt
Filed under: uncultured bacterium
Lineage: Bacteria
Description: partial 16S ribosomal RNA
Rfam family: Bacterial small subunit ribosomal RNA
Source: RNAcentral